Molecule: long non-coding RNA, 2616 nt
Organism: Camelus dromedarius (Arabian camel)
Lineage: Eukaryota; Metazoa; Chordata; Mammalia; Artiodactyla; Camelidae
Exons: 3
Source: RefSeq, a predicted model, not a curated record
GGCAAGGGGCUUGCCAGUCUGGUUUUUAUUUUGAAUGGUUGUUUUAUGCCUACCCAUGAAAAAAACUCAUUGCCUUUUGCCUUCAUUGGUUGAGAGAUUACCAUUCUCUGCUCUUAGUCAAGGACGUUGUAAAUGGAAAAAGACCAGAAACUCAGUCUGUGGACUGUGGGCCGUUUGCCACAGCAUGCAUUCCAGGUGUGCAAACCCUUAGAAGCAUGAAGGGUAAGAUUUGGAUGCCUCAUUAGAGGGUAUCAUCCCCACCCCAACAGACACCUCCCCGCUCUACAGUCUGAGAACUGCUCUCCCUGGAGCCAGCUGGGGACAGCCAUGCAUCGUUGUUGGGGAAACCAGAAGUUACAGGCUUCGAUUUCUCAGGCAGUCUUCAUUUACUGACAUGCUCCAAUAAUGAGAGGCUACCAUGUAAAUAACACUUCAUCUGAGUUUCAGGUGUACAGCAAAGUGGAUCAUCAGAAUAUCUUGUAUGGUGGGUUUUCCCUCCAUUUUACAGAUGAAUGAACUGAGGCGCUGAAAGAUUCUGUGACUUGCUGAAGAUAACCAGCCAGUAAGUGAUAAAGUCAGGUGCAGAUCUUCUGAGGCCAAGUCCUGCGUCUUUCCAGCUCCCUUCACGUUUGGGAAUCAAGCUUCUCUCUUGCUCCAGCGAGGCUCUGUCUGCUAAUGCGGUCAAUGCAAGCACGUGGAAAGCUUUGGACUUCUGAUCACAUUUUUACCACGACAGAGGCCUGGGCCUCCUAGAAAUGACAUUUUAACUCUCUAAUCUACAUUUCUGAAAAACAUUUCUUCUUGCAGGGAGACAUGUAGGCCAUUACCUGGUUAGCAUUUCCAAAGUGUUGCAGGAAACUCACUAGCUUGAAAGAAACCUGAUUACAGCUGUCAAGUUCAGAAACAGAAGGUGGGGCGUUAAUUAUUAACAGGAGAUCACCCGAAAGAUACAGCAUGGAAUGAUUAACCGAGCUGUUGGGACUGUCAGGGCGGAAUGAAUGAACAGAGCCCAUUGAAGCCAUCUCGGGAGCAUGAAAAGGCCCUGCUCCUGCUCUGAGUGUUCACAACCCCCAGCCAGAGGCCGGUAGGAAAGAACAACGUGCUAUUCUCAUUCAGUUCUGACUCUCAUUCUUAUUAAAACAUGGAGCUAUUCCAAGCCCAAGAGGUAACAGAUUCCGGCUUGGGCAAGGCACCGGCAUUUGCAAUUCAAUAAACUUCAACCAUUCUUCACUGAAUGCAGGUGGUGGGCCAGGCUUAAAGCUACAUACAGUCUGGGGGCCUGGUGAGGAGCAGGGUGCUGCUCCCAGGACUCCCAUCAUUCAUUGGGGAGAAUCAAGAUGACACUCGAAUCCCCAUAUGGCAGGCCAGAAUGGGCCUCACUGAAGACUUGAGUGGCUUCAGGAAGAGAAGAAACAGUAUCUGGAGAGCUGGUUGGGGGUGAGGAGCAAAAUUAACUAAUAUUUCUUAAGCACUUUCUGUACGCCAAGCACUAUGCAAAGCACUCAGUGUUACCUAAUUGAAUCUUCGUAGAACAUCAACUCUAUGAAUUGAGUUGCUGUGUCCAACUCAGAGGUCAGCAAACUGAGGCUUGGUGCACUGACUUACCCAGGGCCACAUCCUCCCAACUGCUCUGCUCUUCUUCUGAAGGACAUUUGGAAUCUGCCCAGGGAAUGGUGAAAGGAAACAAGGAAAUGGAGGGUGAAGCAUUCAGGAAGUAGGAAUUCAGGAAGAGGUAAAGGAAAUUAUAGGUUGGUGUCUAUUAUGAAGAAUCUUAUAUAUCAGGCUUGGGAGUCUGUUCUUCACUUGGUAAAUAACCAGGGCCUUUUCAUAUCAAACUCUCUCUCCUCAGUCAAUUGGGAUGCAUUGGGUUUAUCUAGAGCCCAAGGUUUUUCUAAGAACAUUGAACACAUAAGUAAAUACAGGAGCAAAAGGCUUACUCUACUGUGAUCAGAAUGGAAGAAUGUAAAUCCAGUAACAUAAAUACACUGAUCAUCAACCAGAAGCCAUUUUGUCUGUCAACAAGUUAUGUCACCAACAGGGAAAACAAAAAUGCCACAAAAGGACAAAGGCAAACACACACUGUUGCCAAAAGAUUGGCCCCCGUCCCUGAGGAGCCAAAUAACUCAGAGACUGGGUUUGGAGCUUAGAAGAAGCAGCUUUAUUACUUUGCUGGGCAAAAGGGACACACAGCAGGAUAGUGCCUUCAAAACUGUGAACCCGUCUCGGGGAUGGGGCAGGGGGAUUAUAUAGACGAACAGGUUGGAGCAUGAAAGGUGGUCAAGAUCAGCAAGGGUCCCUGAUGAAAUCUCCUUCUAAACCUAGAUGAGUGUGCCUGGUAUCCUGGGACCUCCCGGUGGUCUGGAAGGUCAUCAGCCCCCGAACUCCUUCAUCUGGUCAGACUCAUCUGGCACUAAGGAGGAACUCUGGGGGAUCUGGUCAUUCUCCUGAGGUUAUUGUUCCAUGACACCCUUCCUGGGGAACGACUCAGACACCAAACAUGAUUGUAAUGAUGAGUAAGGUCAAAUCAAACUGUAGUAUGCCAACAACUUCAGCUUUAACAGCGGGCCCGGGGCUGGGAGCAGUGUCUUGUCCGUCAGGUUUGCUGAUCGUAAUAAA